CAGUAGCCCGGUAAUACGAAGGGUGCAAGCGUUACUCGGAAUUACUGGGCGUAAAGCGUGCGUAGGUGGUGGUUUAAGUCCGUUGUGAAAGCCCUGGGCUCAACCUGGGAAUUGCAGUGGAUACUGGGUCACUAGAGUGUGGUAGAGGAUAGUGGAAUUUCCGGUGUAGCAGUGAAAUGCGUAGAGAUCGGAAGGAACAUCUGUGGCGAAGGCGACUAUCUGGGCCAACACUGACACUGAGGCACGAAAGCGUGGGGAGCAAACAGGAUUAGAUACCCCUGUAGUCCCUGUCUCUUAUACA
RNAcentral lists this ribosomal RNA (301 nucleotides) under uncultured bacterium. RNAcentral's name for it is "partial 16S ribosomal RNA". It matches the Rfam family "Bacterial small subunit ribosomal RNA", at positions 509 to 808 of the family's 1533-position model. The record is from RNAcentral.